RNAcentral lists this unclassified non-coding RNA (1042 nucleotides) under Hevea brasiliensis (rubber tree). Lineage: Eukaryota; Viridiplantae; Streptophyta; Magnoliopsida; Malpighiales; Euphorbiaceae. The record is from RNAcentral.
CUUUCUUUCCUUUUUUUUUUUUUAUAUGCUUUCUGGAUGAGUUUUGGUUUUCACUUUUGAACAAUUCUAUGUUAAUGAACCAUAUCUGAAGAUGCAUAAAAACCAGUUUUUUCAGUCGAUUAACUGAACCAUUUGUAUACUUUUUUCUAGUUAAUAUAUACAAUAAGUAUGCUGGUUAGUUAAUUUGAGUAGGUCAUGAUGUUAUUGCUGCUAUGUUUUUUAUGUGGUUAGUUUUAAGCCAUAGAGAAAAGUAUUGAAUGGAAUCAGCAGCUAAUGAGUACUUUCGGGAAAAUUAAAAAGAAAAGAAAAAGAAACUAUUGAAAGAUAGGAUUGUUGAUUUUAGGCAUCAUUUAUUGAUUGUAUUCACAUGACGAAUAGUCACUUUUCAGAUGAGUGAUACUUGAGUUGCAAGAAUUCAAAAGAAUAUUCAUUCCACUCUUUCAUUGGUUUUUCUUCAGAAGUGGCAAAACAAUUUGCACGUGUUUGUUUGGGACUUUGUACUGGGGAGGCCAAAUUGGUGCAUUUUGGUGGUUGCAAUAUGAAUAUUUUCAUAAUUGGAGGAUUUAUUCAUCAGUUAAUGAUGAACCUGUUGAAAUAGUUACACUAAACCUUGUUAGUUUAAGGCUUGCAUACCAUUCGAUGUGUUUGUGCUUCUAUACUGUUCAGGUGUAUCCUGGUUCAGCUUUUUGUCUGCAUUUGAAUAACUGAGCCUUCUGUAGUGUUUGUCUGGUUUUAAAGCUACAUAAAGUUUGGGUUGGGCUGUUUGAGAUGAAUUUAUCAAAUCAAUCCAAUAUGGUCAGUUGUUGUGUAAUUCCAACAGUAACCAACCUUCUAAUAUUCAAUAUCCAACGAAACAGUACCAUUGAAAAUUGGCUUGGUUCAGUUGGUUUGAUCAAUUUAAGCUUUAUUAGAGCCCAAAACUGUUGAGUUUUGCAACUAUAUUAGAACAUCUCUUGAAUUAUACUCAAACAAAACCCUUAAUAACUAGAUAUUAUUCCUUUGUCAAUAAAUUUAUUUGUUAUCUAGGGGGAAAAAAAAAAAA